ACGAGAUCUGAUGGGUUUAUCCGGUGUUUCUGCUUUUGCUUCCUCCUCAUUUUUCUCUUGCUGCCACCACGUGAGAAGUGCCUUUCGCCUCCCGCCAUGAUUCUGAGGCCUCCCUAGCCAUGGGGACCUGUAAGUCCAAUGAAACCUCUUUUUGUUCCCCGUUUUGGGUAUGUCUUUAUCAGCAGCGUGAAAACGGACUAAUACACCCUCUCCCUACCAGCGGGUGUAGUCUGAUGAGGUCUAUGCGGCAGCGUUGGGUGGCAGCCAUGGAGGAAUGCUGUUGAAAUGUCCCUUCUGUCCUCAGGGGCCUUCAGAAGCCACCUGGUCAGUGUCCGAGCAUGGCCAAGGUGCAGGGUGGCUGCUGGGACUCCAUGCAAGGCUCCUCUAUGGGCAACCUCUGCGGCAGCAUUUCCUGCUUGGCUGCCCAAGGAUUCCCAGUGCUUCCUGCAGUCAGGCACUUCCUGCCCGGUUCUCCCUCCUUCCCAUCCUCCUUUCCCAGGGACCAGACCUGCAUCGCAUCCUGAAGCUCAGCCUGCCUACUCCUUCUCCAUCUUUUCUUUAUCCUUCACAACUGCAGUCCUCAAUUAAUCUCUGGUGCACUUAACUCUGUCUGCUUCCUGAAGAUGCUCAUAGAUUCUGAGGAUUCCCCAUGUGCUGUGAUGUGAGAGUUAGGGGCGAGGGAGGAAAACAGCCAGCUCCACUACCUGUCUACCCUCCCUCCCGACCAUUGAGAAAGUUCCCUGUUAGAGAUUCAUUCCUUUGGACCAUGAAGCCUUUUGAUUCCUAUUAACCUUGAGUGAGUCACGCUUAAGCCUUUUAAAAAAUUUUCUGAGUUUUUGUUUGUGAAAUAUAACAUAUAUACCAAUGAACAUGAGAUAUAUAAAUGCGUUGUAUGAAUAAUUAGAAAGCAAACUAUAUUCCAGCAAGCGAAAACAUAACACACUGCCCCAGAAGCACCCACAAUCCACGAGUAAGCACCUCCCUCCCCCUGAGGUGCAUAAGUAAGGAGAGGAGGGGCAGAGGAGCUGCCAGGGGAAGGACCAAGGAUGUGCUCUAUAGGUCAGCCCCCUGGCUCUGCCUCUCCUUGUUGGCAGAGAUCAGCCUGAGGGCCGCGCCGCACACCACAGGCCCAUGACCCUCCAUCGGAGUCACCGGGCGCUGGCUGAACAAGCACCUUCAGUGAGCUCUGGAUUACAACACAGCUAUGAAAAGAAGCCAGCCGGUGCUCUCCCUACCCAUAUGGAGAGAUUGCCAGGCAGAUUCCAAAGUGGAAAAGUCAGAGGCAAUACAGGAGGGCCUGUGUGCCCAGCUCCCACUGUGAAAACCAACCCAGCUGAUGGGGAUUCUUCUCUAUUGCUUUGUAGGUCGUCGCUGCCCUCAGCCUCCAGAUGCAGCCCCCCUGCCACCUUCAGGACCCCUGGCUCUCCCCUGGACUCAGUAGCGAAAGGGUUUAUGUGCUCGGAGGGAGACCUUCAGGAAUCUGUGCAUAGAAUGCCAUAGUGCAGAGGAAAGUAAGACUAUGCAGUUGUAUUUGACUUAAAACCUCCGGAAAGAUAAAUAGGGAAGCAACAAAACCUACAGGGAACAGGGGAGGAAGAGGGAUGGGGCUGCAAGCCAGGGGAUGCCUGCAGCCACCAGGAGAUGGGGGGAGGCAGGGAGGAUCCUUUCCCAGAGCCUCUGGAAGGAGUAUGGCCCUGCCUACACCUUGAUUUGGAUUUCUGGCCUCUGAAACUGUGAGAGAACAACUGUCUGCUGUGGAAAGUAACCUAGGUUUGUGGGAAUUCGUUACAGCAGCCCCAGAAAAUGGAACAGCUGCUAAGUGAGACUCCUCAGCCAGGCCAGAGAAUGUGCAUUCUGACGGACUGCUUCUCAUUUGCACUGAUCACUGUGAGUGUCUGAUGGGUGGGCAUCCGGCGCCCAGAGAAGGAGUUGCUCUAUUAUCCUGGCACUCCAUAAAGAACAGGUAGAAAUAAGCGCUUCUUACCAAGAUGAAAUCCACCCAUCAUUUCUGAAUGGCUCAGUUUUGAUUUCAUCUCCCAAGGUCUUCUUUCUGAAACCAGCCCAACUUUUCUCCCAGAGAGUAUCAUGGAACUGAACUUUCAAGAUCAUGGCAUCUGGACAUCGAGAAAACAGAACCCUCAUCUGGCCACCUGCUGCUUUUUGACCAAUUCCCAUAUAAACCGCUAACUUCAGUCAGUUGGAGGGAUGGAUUUGAGAUUUGCCUUCUGUCUCUCAGGUGAUGUCACCAGCAAUAAAGCCUUCUUCCCUGGC
Long non-coding RNA from Homo sapiens (human), 2271 nucleotides. Ensembl annotates it as TMEM132D antisense RNA 1. Its record names the gene TMEM132D-AS1. The record is from Ensembl. Lineage: Eukaryota; Metazoa; Chordata; Mammalia; Primates; Hominidae.